RNAcentral lists this ribosomal RNA (337 nucleotides) under uncultured Streptococcus sp. Its description in RNAcentral is "bacterial SSU rRNA". It matches the Rfam family "Bacterial small subunit ribosomal RNA", at positions 1046 to 1382 of the family's 1533-position model. Lineage: Bacteria; Bacillati; Bacillota; Bacilli; Lactobacillales; Streptococcaceae. The record is from RNAcentral.
UGGUUGUCGUCAGCUUCGUGUCGUGAGAUUGGUUUGGGUUAAGUCCCGCAACGAGCGCAACCCUAUUGUUAGUUUGCCAUCAUUCAGUUUGGGCACUCUAGCGAGACUGCCGGUAAUAACCGGAGGAAGUGGGAUGACGUCAAAUCAUCAUGCCCCUUAUGACCUGGGCUACACACGUGCUACAAUGGUUGGUACAACGAGUUGCGAGUCGGUGACGGCGAGCUAAUCUCUUAAAGCCAAUCUCAGUUCGGAUUGUAGGCUGCAACUCGCCUACAUGAAGUCGGAAUCGCUAGUAAUCGCGGAUCAGCACGCCGCGGUGAAUACGUUCCCGGGCCUU